GAAAUGCGAUAAUUAAUGUGAAUUGCAGAAUUCAGUGAAUCAUCGAGUCUUUGAACGCACAUUGCGCCCCCUGGUAUUCCGGGGGGCAUGCCUGUCCGAGCGUCAUUGCUGCCCUCAAGCACGGCUUGUGUGUUGGGCUUCCGUCCCUGGCAACGGGGACGGGCCCAAAAGGCAGUGGCGGCACCAUGUCUGGUCCUCGAGCGUAUGGGGCUUUGUCAACCGCUCCCGUAGGUCCAGCUGGCAGCUAGCCUCGCAACCAAUCUUUUUAACCAGGUUGACCUCGGAUCAGGUAGGGAUACCCGCUGAACUUAAGC
Molecule: unclassified non-coding RNA, 314 nt
Filed under: plant metagenome
Description: partial contains 5.8S ribosomal RNA, internal transcribed spacer 2, and large subunit ribosomal RNA
Rfam family: 5.8S ribosomal RNA (bases 1-105)
Source: RNAcentral